This 513-nucleotide ribosomal RNA is filed under the name uncultured Gammaproteobacteria bacterium. RNAcentral describes it as "bacterial SSU rRNA". It matches the Rfam family "Bacterial small subunit ribosomal RNA", at positions 887 to 1400 of the family's 1533-position model. Lineage: Bacteria; Pseudomonadati; Pseudomonadota; Gammaproteobacteria. The record is from RNAcentral.
CGCAAGGUUAAAACUCAAAUGAAUUGACGGGGGCCCGCACAAGCGGUGGAGCAUGUGGUUUAAUUCGAUGCAACGCGAAGAACCUUACCAAGCCUUGACAUCCUCGGAACUUUCCAGAAAUGGAUUGGUGCCUUCGGGAACCGAGUGACAGGUGCUGCAUGGCUGUCGUCAGCUCGUGUCGUGAGAUGUUGGGUUAAGUCCCGUAACGAGCGCAACCCUUGUCCUUAGUUGCCAGCACUUCGGGUGGGAACUCUAAGGAGACUGCCGGUGACAAACCGGAGGAAGGUGGGGACGACGUCAAAUCAUCACGGCCCUUACGUCCUGGGCUACACACGUGCUACAAUGGUCGGUACAGAGAGCAGCCACUACGCGAGUAGGAGCGAAUCUUCAAAACCGAUCUCAGUUCGGAUCGCAGUCUGCAACUCGACUGCGUGAAGCUGGAAUCGCUAGUAAUCGGAUAUCAGCCAUGAUCCGGUGAAUACGUUCCCGGGCCUUGUACACACCGCCCGUCAA